UACGUAGGCAGCGAGCGUUGUUCGGAGUUACUGGGCGUAAAGAGUGCGUAGGCGGUUUUCUAAGUUUGGUGUGAAAUCUCCCGGCUCAACUGGGAGGGUGCGCCGAAGACUGGAAGGCUUGAGUAUGGGAGAGGUAAGCGGAAUUCCUGGUGUAGCGGUGAAAUGCGUAGAUAUCAGGAGGAACACCUGCGGUGUAGACGGCUUUCUGGACAGUAACUGACGCUGAGGCGCGAAAGCUAGGGGAGCAAACAGG
This 253-nucleotide ribosomal RNA is filed under the name uncultured bacterium. Its description in RNAcentral is "partial 16S ribosomal RNA". It matches the Rfam family "Bacterial small subunit ribosomal RNA", at positions 524 to 776 of the family's 1533-position model. The record is from RNAcentral.